This 1152-nucleotide long non-coding RNA is filed under the name Strigops habroptila (Kakapo). RNAcentral describes it as "lncRNA (ENSSHBG00005021037.1)". Lineage: Eukaryota; Metazoa; Chordata; Aves; Psittaciformes; Psittacidae. The record is from RNAcentral.
CAGUAAGCACUCUGUGUUUAAUCAGGACUCAGGUCAGUGAACAGCAAAUGAACACAGGCUAUUGUCCUCCAGUGGCUACACCGAGUAAGAUGGGCUUUCAUUUGUAUUUUUGAGCCCGUAACUUCCAGUUCUUAUGUUUCCCUCCAGUUCUUUUGGGCUAUGGUAUAUCAAAUUGUGGGGCUACCCUGAAGCCUGCUGUGAAUCCAUGGGACUCUGUCCCUGCAGGAAGGCAAAACAAACAGAUUUUAUCUCCUUUGAGACAAAAGGUGUUACGUUUAUGCAAACUCUUAUUCAGUAUCAAAGUACCACGUGGCAUAUGUUAAAAAGGCUUCUGGAACAAAAGAAACACGUUGUACACUGCAGGUAUUGUCACAUCCAUUUGUUGGCCUCUCUCAUGAAAAUGUCUGUUAUCAGAGCACAGUGAGUAAUGUAGAAGUAUAUCCUUGGCUGCGGUAAUUUCUCUGUUCCAGGUUCUUUUGGGGGAAAGAAAUAGAACUCUGAGGUUACUUGUCUUAAAAUACUACUUUCUAAUCUGUCUGCAGAACGACAAGCAGUCAAAGCAGAGUGAAUGUUUACACUUUGCUGACUCUAUGUAAGUAGGUGUAUAUAUCUCUAAAAGCAUGUUCUUGUACAUAAAGCACUGGCAGACCCCCUGUUGCUUUGUCUGUCCUAUUUGCAAACAAUCUGGCUCUAAUGCCGUUAUCCAAACCAGUCCUGAUACCACAAGUAGCCACGAGCUCUUAAUCCUCACCCUAUUUCUUCUCCUCUUAUGCAAAAUUGCCAACACAUCCCUUCUGAAGACUUGAUGUGUUAUACAGCAGGUUUGCAGCAGAAGUAAUUAGAGGUGUACAUAGAAAAGGUGUAUGUACACCUCCAGAGGUAUAAAGACUGCACAGGUUGUCAUUUGAAAUACACCUACUGACUUUUACAGACCAAAACCUGCACUGCUUUAGGUGUAAGAAAAACCAAAAGUAUUAAUGAACAUUAAACAUUUAUAUUCCUCCAGAAAAGGUAGCAAAUAGGAAGCACCCAAUGUGAGCACCAGCUACAUAAACCAGGCAUAUCUGUAGAGCACUCCCCACAUGUAGCUGUGAAUUAAGCUGUUUCAGCCAGAAAUAAGAAAAAAACUGGAGGACUUGUAUAAACUGGGAC